UUGAGUUUCUCACAAAAAAAAACUCCCUCUCCAUCCAAACCGUCCUCAAAAACCUUCUCCAGGCACAGGUCGGUGCGCCGGCUCCCAGGACAGAGGCUAGGUUGUCUUGUCGAAAAGCCCUGAGUGCUCGGCAUGAAAGGAACCGCUCCGGGUCACUGUAUAGCGGAGGCCAUUAUCAGUGGAUGGGGAAUCGACACGGGCUGUUGGAACCCUGAUGGUAUUUCUUCCUAUUAGAGGUCGUGAAUAUAACGAACCUUAUCUAAUCCAUGAAGUGAAACAGUCAAACGGAAGACUAUGGAACCAUGGAGAUGCGGCAAGACCAGCAUAUCACCAUUCUGUCCAUAAUAAUCAACUCGAAUAUGUAGGCUACAUAUUGUUUGAGAAAUUCAUUUGUGAGUUAAAGGGACAGUCUUCACUUCAAACAAUUACAAAGUGGAUACCCUGCCUCUGUUUUGGUAAAAAGCUGAGGGAAGAGCAUGGAGAAAUGUAACCACUCUAAAAUGCAUAGAUAGCGCGUUGGAUGCAAGGACUGACCACCUAAGAUAUCAAAAUAGUUUUAAGCAUGUUCUGUAGCUAAAUAUGUGUAAACCAAUACAAUUUGAUUUGGUUUGUUUGUUUACAUUUGCAAUGUUUACAAACAAGUUUAUAUUUUGGUUCUGAUGGGGUAGGACAGUUGAACUAAGCUUAUGAGGCAUUUAUACGCUAUAUUCUUCAAGAAUCAAUGGGCAACGGGUAUUCACACACCCCUUGACUUUUUAAACAUUUUGUUGUGUUACAAAGUGGGAUUCAAAUUCAAAAUUAAUUGUAUUUUUUUUUUGUCAACGACCUACACAAAAUACUGUAACAUUUGUCUAAAAAAUGUAUGGAAAAUAAAACACAAAUGUAUUUUGAUUA
This is a long non-coding RNA of Oncorhynchus nerka (sockeye salmon), 894 nucleotides long. RefSeq lists it as uncharacterized. The transcript has 2 exons. NCBI's taxonomy places the organism in Eukaryota, Metazoa, Chordata, Actinopteri, Salmoniformes, Salmonidae. The record is from RefSeq and is a predicted model, not a curated record.